RNAcentral lists this ribosomal RNA (460 nucleotides) under uncultured bacterium. RNAcentral describes it as "partial 16S ribosomal RNA". It matches the Rfam family "Bacterial small subunit ribosomal RNA", at positions 338 to 795 of the family's 1533-position model. The record is from RNAcentral.
CCUACGGGUGGCAGCAGUGAGGAAUAUUGGUCAAUGGGCGCGAGCCUGAACCAGCCAAGUAGCGUGAAGGAUGAAUGCCCUACGGGUUGUAAACUUCUUUUAUAAAGGAAUAAAGUGAGGCACGUGUGCCUUUUUGUAUGUACUUUAUGAAUAAGGAUCGGCUAACUCCGUGCCAGCAGCCGCGGUACUACGGAGGAUCCGAGCGUUAACCGGAUUUAUUGGGCUUAAAGGGAGCGUAGAUGGGUUGUUAAGUUAGUUGUGAAAGUUUGCGGCUCAACCGUAAAAUUGCAAUUGAUACUGGCAGGCUUGAGUACAGUUGAGGUAGGCGGAAUUCGUGGUGUAGCGGUGAAAUGCUUAGAUAUCACGAAGAACUCCGAUUGCGAAGGCAGCUUACUAAACUGACACUGACAUUGAGGCUCGAAAGUGUGGGUAUCAAACAGGAUUAGAUACCCUUGUAGUC